Molecule: long non-coding RNA, 883 nt
Organism: Mercenaria mercenaria
Lineage: Eukaryota; Metazoa; Mollusca; Bivalvia; Venerida; Veneridae
Exons: 3
Source: RefSeq, a predicted model, not a curated record
UAGUUUCACAAUCAAUGCUCUUGCAAGCUGUGUCUACACAUCAAACCCUACGGAAGAGGAAUUCCUACUUAAUUUCUGCAAAGGUCUUCUAGGAAGUGAAUAUGAUUUAGAAAGUCACUGUAAAAUAUUCACAGAUGGAAGCGGCUCCGUUUGUCCAAAUGGAGAAUAUACAUUUGAAAGUGGAUAUCUACCUUGGGACGGUUGUGAACCGAAACUGUUAGAUAAUGCUUAUCACCCUAUAUUUCGCUGUGCAGAUGAAAAUGAUUGUGGAAAUGCAGACUAUGACAUAUAUCAUGUCUUUGAAGGCACCAAAUGUUUAAAUGAAGAUGGCACCAAAGGAGAUCAGGUCUGUUAUCGAGGCAAGUGUCGUUCUAAGAUAGAGUUGUGUGAGGAGUACGAAUAAGAAGACAAAGAAGAAGAAGACGUAGAACAAAGUAGUGAAGAACAGUCCGACAGCUCGUAAUCGUAAAAAAGAUUAUCGACCACUAACAAAGGACAGGAUAAACAAUUUCAAGAAUAACAUCGCUUUUGAAAAUGUUCAUCAUGGUCUUAUACUUCAAGUUGCAACUUGUAACAAAGAAUAGAAAUCGAACGAUUCUUUGCAUUAGGUUGUCAUCUGAAUCUUAUAGUGUUUUAUAUCAGAAAUGUGUCAUUAAAAGGAUUUUUCAAAAUAAUAUUCACAGAAUCAUGUAUCAUAAAACGAAUUCUACCCACGUAUCUGGUUUACUUUUAUUGCCAUAAUCAAAUAUGCUUUCUCGAUCUACGACACAAAAAACGAAUAUGUUUGCUUUGGAUAUGUAAAGAUGAGAAUGAAUGUUGUCCUACCACAUGUACGAAGUAUGCAAUGACUUCGAAGAUAAUUAAUUAAUUUCUUAACUAGCCG